GAUGAAGAACGCAGCGAAAUGCGAUAAGUAAUGUGAAUUGCAGAAUUCCGUGAAUCAUCGAAUCUUUGAACGCACAUUGCGCCCCCUGGCAUUCCGGGGGACAUGCCUGUCCGAGCGUCAUUUCUGCCCUCAAGCACGGCUUGUGUGUUGGGUGUGGUCCCCCCGGGGACCUGCCCGAAAGGCAGCGGCGACGUCCGUCUGGUCCUCGAGCGUAUGGGGCUCUGUCACUCGCUCGGGAAGGACCUGCGGGGGUUGGUCACCACCAUGUUUUACCACGGUUGACCUCGGAUCAGGUAGGAGUUACCCGCUGAACUUAAGCAUAUCAAUAAGCGGAGGA
This 337-nucleotide unclassified non-coding RNA is filed under the name soil metagenome. RNAcentral describes it as "partial contains 5.8S ribosomal RNA, internal transcribed spacer 2, and large subunit ribosomal RNA". The stretch from base 1 to 120 matches the Rfam family "5.8S ribosomal RNA", at positions 35 to 154 of the family's 154-position model. The record is from RNAcentral.